Molecule: long non-coding RNA, 1009 nt
Organism: Malus domestica (apple)
Lineage: Eukaryota; Viridiplantae; Streptophyta; Magnoliopsida; Rosales; Rosaceae
Source: RefSeq, a predicted model, not a curated record
UCAAACCUGAUCAAAUUCCGCUCUGGACAAAUUUGACCAUUCUUUCUUUCACUACAGUCCAAUUUCUGGCGACGGAGCUUUGGUGGGGAGCAAAGACGACGAUUACAGCACCGGAUGGAGUCGGAACUAAGAACCUCCGGCUACCACUCUCCUGACAGAUCCGUGCUGCGCAACCGUUGCUGCAAUCGUCGUCUUGGCUGUCCACCAAGCUCCGUCCGUCACCAUACAUGUCAAUUGGAUAUCGAGUUAUCGAAUAUUUUUAAGAUCCGUUGGUAAUAUUCUGAUCGUCAAUGCUAGUGCUUCCGAGUGAAGUGAAUGACCAGUAUGUGAGGAACAAAUUGAAGGGUGUUCUAUUUCCAUUUCUGUACAAGUGAGCCAGUAGGAGGCAGGCUUUCCUAUAUAUACCAUAAUCGAUGACAUCAAUGCGGUGGACCUAUACAUUUCAUAUGCAGAAAUUGGUACCUAUACCUUUUAGUUUCUUAAGGCUCAAGAGCAACAGAAGUGUUUUCAAAAUGUCAUCUAAGAUGCUGUUAAAAAAUAACACUCCUUUACCACAUUUAGCGUGCGACAUAAACUGUUUAGCCCUGAAGCACUAAACUGGUUGUUAAUCAGGGGAUUGCUUGGCUGGUUUGCAAUCUGCAAUGCUGAAAGUGACAUAGCUAGCUCUGGAUACCAUUGCUGGACGUUGUGGCGUAUGCAGGGUAUAAUUCCGCAGGGUUGUGCUUGCCCGUAUUUGGACAGGUUCUGUUGAGUUGCUCAUAUUAUUUUGUAUGCCUUGGACCUGUUUAUUUAUGUGUGGAAAGUCUUCUUGGAGAAGACUAUAAAGGGAGAACUCUAUCAAGAGAGUCCACUUUAGAGAGGUGAGGGGUUAUGAUUCAUGCAAGUAUACAUUAUCUGUUGCUCUUUAUUGCUUUGUCUCAGUAACCACUUUUUACAUGGCUUGACAAUCCUAAUAUGAAUUGGAUUAUGUAACAUUGUUUCUAUUUGUAUACAAUUUUCUUUUUAUUCA